AGUGAACGCUGGCGGUAGGCCUAACACAUGCAAGUCGAACGGCAGCACAGUAAGAGCUUGCUCUUACGGGUGGCGAGUGGCGGACGGGUGAGGAAUACAUCGGAAUCUACUUUUUCGUGGGGGAUAACGUAGGGAAACUUACGCUAGUACCUCAUACGACCUACGGGUGAAAGCAGGGGAUCUUCGGACCUUGCGCGAUCGAAUGAGCCGAUGUCGGAUUAGCUAGUUGGCGGGGUAAAGGCCCACCAAGGCGACGAUCCGUAGCUGGUCUGAGAGGAUGAUCAGCCACACUGGAACUGAGACACGGUCCAGACUCCUACGGGAGGCAGCAGUGGGGAAUAUUGGACAAUGGGCGCAAGCCUGAUCCAGCCAUACCGCGUGGGUGAAGAAGGCCUUCGGGUUGUAAAGCCCUUUUGUUGGGAAAGAAAAGCAGCAGGUUAAUACCCCGCUGUUCUGACGGUACCCAAAGAAUAAGCACCGGCUAACUUCGUG
This 492-nucleotide ribosomal RNA is filed under the name uncultured bacterium. Its description in RNAcentral is "partial 16S ribosomal RNA". It matches the Rfam family "Bacterial small subunit ribosomal RNA", at positions 29 to 507 of the family's 1533-position model. The record is from RNAcentral.